GUAGGUGGCAAGCGUUGUCCGGAAUUAUUGGGCGUAAAGCGCGCGCAGGCGGUCCUUUAAGUCUGAUGUGAAAGCCCACGGCUCAACCGUGGAGGGUCAUUGGAAACUGGGGGACUUGAGUACAGAAGAGGAAAGCGGAAUUCCAAGUGUAGCGGUGAAAUGCGUAGAGAUUUGGAGGAACACCAGUGGCGAAGGCGGCUUUCUGAUCUGUAACUGACGCUGAGGCGCGAAAGCGUGGGGAGCAAACAGGGAUUAGAUACCCUGGUAGUCCACGCCGUAAACGAUGAGUGCUAAGUGUUAGGGGGUUUCCCGCCCCUUAGUGCUGCAGCUAACGCAUUAAGCACUCCGCCUGGGGAGUACGGCCGCAAGGCUG
This 373-nucleotide ribosomal RNA is filed under the name uncultured organism. RNAcentral's name for it is "partial 16S ribosomal RNA". It matches the Rfam family "Bacterial small subunit ribosomal RNA", at positions 527 to 896 of the family's 1533-position model. The record is from RNAcentral.